Molecule: long non-coding RNA, 494 nt
Organism: Lepidothrix coronata (blue-crowned manakin)
Lineage: Eukaryota; Metazoa; Chordata; Aves; Passeriformes; Pipridae
Exons: 3
Source: RefSeq, a predicted model, not a curated record
GUGGAGUGCCCAGGCUGGCCUACCAACUGCACCAGAAAACCAGAAGGUCCUGCGUGCCCGGAGAGCUCCAUAAAGAGCCCCUUGUGCCUGAGCAGGAACGCUGGGGCAGCCGGGAAGUGCUGCACUCACUCAACACCGGGCUCCUCUUACUGCACAGCCGGCUGCCUUUCCAGGGAAUUUAGGAAAACGAGCCCAGUGUUAAGGAGAGAAACACUGGUUUGGGACCCUGAGGUGCAGUGAGGAUGGAUGGAUUCAGAAAAUUUGCAAAGAUGCAGAAAAUUUGGAUGCAUUCCAACGCCAGGGGUUCAUGGUGAGUCCUGUUCCUUUUGGGUCUGGCACUGAACAUUCCCAGAAUAAACCGCUUUCCUUGCCUGAGAGACCUCCAGCCACCAGGCAGAGGAUGUGUCACGGCAGCAAUAAAGUGUUGGGAAAUCAGGUCUCUCCUGGCCUGUAAUUCCCAUUCUGGAAGGGAUUUUCCAAAGCAUCAGAUUAAA